This 1477-nucleotide ribosomal RNA is filed under the name Staphylococcus aureus. Its description in RNAcentral is "partial 23S ribosomal RNA". It matches the Rfam family "Bacterial large subunit ribosomal RNA", at positions 1290 to 2763 of the family's 2925-position model. Lineage: Bacteria; Bacillati; Bacillota; Bacilli; Caryophanales; Staphylococcaceae. The record is from RNAcentral.
GAGAAUGCCGGUGUGAGUAGCGAAAGACGGGUGAGAAUCCCGUCCACCGAUUGACUAAGGUUUCCAGAGGAAGGCUCGUCCGCUCUGGGUUAGUCGGGUCCUAAGCUGAGGCCGACAGGCGUAGGCGAUGGAUAACAGGUUGAUAUUCCUGUACCACCUAUAAUCGUUUUAAUCGAUGGGGGGACGCAGUAGGAUAGGCGAAGCGUGCGAUUGGAUUGCACGUCUAAGCAGUAAGGCUGAGUAUUAGGCAAAUCCGGUACUCGUUAAGGCUGAGCUGUGAUGGGGAGAAGACAUUGUGUCUUCGAGUCGUUGAUUUCACACUGCCGAGAAAAGCCUCUAGAUAGAAAAUAGGUGCCCGUACCGCAAACCGACACAGGUAGUCAAGAUGAGAAUUCUAAGGUGAGCGAGCGAACUCUCGUUAAGGAACUCGGCAAAAUGACCCCGUAACUUCGGGAGAAGGGGUGCUCUUUAGGGUUAACGCCCAGAAGAGCCGCAGUGAAUAGGCCCAAGCGACUGUUUAUCAAAAACACAGGUCUCUGCUAAACCGUAAGGUGAUGUAUAGGGGCUGACGCCUGCCCGGUGCUGGAAGGUUAAGAGGAGUGGUUAGCUUCUGCGAAGCUACGAAUCGAAGCCCCAGUAAACGGCGGCCGUAACUAUAACGGUCCUAAGGUAGCGAAAUUCCUUGUCGGGUAAGUUCCGACCCGCACGAAAGGCGUAACGAUUUGGGCACUGUCUCAACGAGAGACUCGGUGAAAUCAUAGUACCUGUGAAGAUGCAGGUUACCCGCGACAGGACGGAAAGACCCCGUGGAGCUUUACUGUAGCCUGAUAUUGAAAUUCGGCACAGCUUGUACAGGAUAGGUAGGAGCCUUUGAAACGUGAGCGCUAGCUUACGUGGAGGCGCUGGUGGGAUACUACCCUAGCUGUGUUGGCUUUCUAACCCGCACCACUUAUCGUGGUGGGAGACAGUGUCAGGCGGGCAGUUUGACUGGGGCGGUCGCCUCCUAAAAGGUAACGGAGGCGCUCAAAGGUUCCCUCAGAAUGGUUGGAAAUCAUUCAUAGAGUGUAAAGGCAUAAGGGAGCUUGACUGCGAGACCUACAAGUCGAGCAGGGUCGAAAGACGGACUUAGUGAUCCGGUGGUUCCGCAUGGAAGGGCCAUCGCUCAACGGAUAAAAGCUACCCCGGGGAUAACAGGCUUAUCUCCCCCAAGAGUUCACAUCGACGGGGAGGUUUGGCACCUCGAUGUCGGCUCAUCGCAUCCUGGGGCUGUAGUCGGUCCCAAGGGUUGGGCUGUUCGCCCAUUAAAGCGGUACGCGAGCUGGGUUCAGAACGUCGUGAGACAGUUCGGUCCCUAUCCGUCGUGGGCGUAGGAAAUUUGAGAGGAGCUGUCCUUAGUACGAGAGGACCGGGAUGGACAUACCUCUGGUGUACCAGUUGUCGUGCCAACGGCAUAGCUGGGUAGCUAUGUGUGGACGGG